Molecule: non-coding RNA, 1537 nt
Organism: Schizosaccharomyces pombe (fission yeast)
Lineage: Eukaryota; Fungi; Ascomycota; Schizosaccharomycetes; Schizosaccharomycetales; Schizosaccharomycetaceae
Source: the annotation of a GenBank genome assembly
GUAGCAAGCUCAAGGAAGAAAAAGACAUACAGUAGCUUUUACUUAAACAAAGAACCUUCCAAGCACUAAAUCUUUUCUUGUUUCAAUUUUCACCCUGCAUGUUACUGGUAUGGUUUCAUCAAAUAUUAUUGUAGCGAGGUUUCAGGGAUUAGCAGCUCCAUUACAAAUGUUCAGACAUGAUCUAUAUCCCCUUCUUUAUAAGAUUAUAUAUCUGAACAGUUUCACAUAGAUUUAUUAUAAAGCAAUAGAAACUGAGGUCGAGCUUUCGAAAUCGAAUAAUUGUUUAUAGAUUUAUUUUUUUUAUCUUGAAUAUUUCCAAAUUUUAUUUCAACAUUUAUCAAAAUCUGUUCACAAGCGUAUUUUCCAGGUCAUACGUCCGAUUGCAGAGAAAGAGUAAAGCAGCUGACAGCCCCAAGGCAGAGCGGACCAACAAACAUUCUCACGUUCUUCCAUGCAAUAUGUCGUAACUUAGAAGAAGUUCGUAAAUCGUUUACUAAAUUGAAUUUAUUUACUUUUUACAAGAAAAACGAGUUGCUCUGUUGUAUCGAUAAAUAAAAUAGAGAAAUUCACAGGUACUCAUAAUAUAAAAUUUCGUUACUGUAGUGUUUGUAUAAUGAUGUAUUGUGAUAGAUUUUUGUCACAUAAGAUUUUGGUGUGAUGUGCCUUAUUCCAUUCGUUUCUUUAUCAACGUACAAUCGCGCUAUCUUCAUAUAAUAAAUCGGCAAAUUCCAGUAAUAAAAAAUAAGGAUUUGUGCUAGUAAUCACUAUUGUACUUUAUUUGAAGCCUAUUUCUGCCAUGAGUCCUUUUGGGGCAGUAUAGGUAGGUAAAAAAAGUCAAAGUCCCAUCAUGCUCUUUGACAAACUCGUACACUUUAAGGGUUGUUAGGAAUAUAUAUAAUAAAUGUUUCUAAUUCCCUUCCUCUUAAGUUUUACGUUCUACAGUUUACAUUUCUAUCCUACGAAGAAAGCAAUUAAUUAUGAUUGACAUCGGUAGGGACGACGAUAUAAUUAUGAAGCUGCACCGAUUUUUAUUACCAAGGUUCUUCAAAUUUUUUAAAUAGCCUCUAAUAUAUUAUUGAAGAGCUUCAUUCUUUCAAUACUUUGUUAAGUCUUUUGAUGCUUUCCUCUUCAAAUCGAAAAAUUCAGCGCACGUCGUUAACGAAUUUUAAUGUCUUCAUUAAAAUGCACAAAUAUACGUAAAAAUAGUUUAAUGUCUUCGGUAUCUAUCGUUGUAGCGGUUUAUGUGUUGCUGCCAAUAUCCUUAUAUAGAGUAAACAGUCUUCCUACCAUGCGUGUCUGAGUCGUCCACUAAUUCAAACAAUUACUCAUGUUUCUAGGGCGAUUGCUAUUCAUUGAGUAGUUUGAAGAAAUUCAUUCUUUCCAAAUUUACUUUGUUGCUCCAUGUUUACUUAUUUUCGCCUUUUGCUCGUUUCGUCUAUUUUCGUAUGCUCAUCAUUUUUAUGUCAGUUGUUACUUUGUCCACGAUUUAUGGUUGAAGUAAGCUUGCCCGGUCGAUUAACGAUAAUUUAUAAAAUCA